GAGUUUGAUCUUGGCUCAGGACGAACGCUGGCUGCGUGCUUAACACAUGCAAGUCGAACGCUGAAGCCUGGUGCUUGCACCGGGUGGAUGAGUGGCGAACGGGUGAGUAACACGUGAGUAACCUGCCCCUGACUUCGGGAUAAGCCCGGGAAACUGGGUCUAAUACCGGAUACGACCGUCGGACGCAUGUCUGGUGGUGGAAAGUUUUUCGGUGGGAUGGGCUCGCGGCCUAUCAGUUUGUUGGUGAGGUAAUGGCCUCACCAAGACGACGACGGGUAGCCGGCCUGAGAGGGCGACCGGCCACACUGGGACUGAGACACGGCCCAGACUCCUACGGGAGGCAGCAGUGGGAAUAUUGCACAAUGGGGGAAACCCUGAUGCAGCGACGCAGCGUGCGGGAUGACGGCCUCGGUUGUAACCGUACUCUCAGCAGGAGAAAGCGCGAAGUGACGGUACCUGCAGAAGAAGUAA
Molecule: ribosomal RNA, 471 nt
Filed under: uncultured bacterium
Lineage: Bacteria
Description: bacterial SSU rRNA
Rfam family: Bacterial small subunit ribosomal RNA
Source: RNAcentral